This 497-nucleotide ribosomal RNA is filed under the name uncultured bacterium. RNAcentral's name for it is "partial 16S ribosomal RNA". It matches the Rfam family "Bacterial small subunit ribosomal RNA", at positions 28 to 507 of the family's 1533-position model. The record is from RNAcentral.
GAUGAACGCUGGCGGCGUGCCUAAUACAUGCAAGUCGAGCGAACAGGCGAGGAGCUUGCUCCUCUGACGUUAGCGGCGGACGAGUGAGUAACACGUGGAUAACCUACCUAUAAGACUGGGAUAACUUCGGGAAACCGGAGCUAAUACCGGAUAAUAUAUUGAACCGCAUGGUUCAAUAGUGAAAGACGGUUUUGCUGUCACUUAUAGAUGGAUCCGCGCCGCAUUAGCUAGUUGGUAAGGUAACGGCUUACCAAGGCAACGAUGCGUAGCCGACCUGAGAGGGUGAUCGGCCACACUGGAACUGAGACACGGUCCAGACUCCUACGGGAGGCAGCAGUAGGGAAUCUUCCGCAAUGGGCGAAAGCUUGACGGAGCAACGCCGCGUGAGUGAUGAAGGUCUUCGGAUCGUAAAACUCUGUUAUUAGGGAAGAACAAAUGUGUAAGUAACUAUGCACGUCUUGACGGUACCUAAUCAGAAAGCCACGGCUAACUACGUG